GAGGGAGGUAGAGAGCUGGGCAGCAUGGUCAAUAUCGACUUUAGUCUUUCUAUCUUUUUUCAGAAGAGACGUCGUCGACUAGCUCUGAUCGAUCAGAUGUCGGUUUCUCUCAACCAGACCCCAGCGAUAUUGGAAGUUGUUCUCCACGGGCGGGUCUCAGCGACGAAGCCAGUCAAAACCAAAGGACUAUCUCCGAAGAAGGCGGGUCUGGUAGGCUCAGCCAUUGGCCCUCCUCUUCAGCGAUCGGUAGUGGACGAAAACGAAAACAAGCGAAUACAGGAACAAACGACACCUGCAGGAAAAAGCAAGCCCGUCG
Eriocheir sinensis (Chinese mitten crab) is the source of this 316-nucleotide long non-coding RNA. RefSeq lists it as uncharacterized. The record is from RefSeq and is a predicted model, not a curated record. The transcript is spliced from 3 exons. Lineage: Eukaryota; Metazoa; Arthropoda; Malacostraca; Decapoda; Varunidae.